UAAGGCCUUAGCUUAAUUAAAGCGAUUGAGUUGCAAUUAGUGGAUGUAAAUGAGAGUUUUACAGGUCUU
RNAcentral lists this transfer RNA (69 nucleotides) under Pachydactylus scutatus (large-scaled gecko). RNAcentral's name for it is "tRNA-Ala". The record is from RNAcentral. Lineage: Eukaryota; Metazoa; Chordata; Lepidosauria; Squamata; Gekkonidae.